GGCUGCCCACCAACGCCGACCGCCACCUACCAAGAUUACCCACCCCAACGAUGAACCACCAUCACCGGCUCUCUCCACCAUGGUACAUCUCUCUCUCCAUCACCACUGAAUUUUCCCCCAAAGCCCUCUCUCUUCGCUGAUUACUUGCCUGAUCUCACUGAUCAUGAGGAGCUGUUUGAAACCAUCUCCUAAGCACUUAUAUCGUUAGUUGACCGUGAUUGCUUAAGUGGUUGGGGAGGACAUGUCUACAUUGUUUGGUUUUCAAACACAACUGGAUAAAGAAUGGGAGGCUUGACAAGAUUUGGAAAACCAAAUGUGAAGAAAGAAUGUGAAGAAAGAAAGCUACGUGAGCGGGCUGAAAGAGAUUAAGGGAAGCAACGAAUGCAAAAACAAUUGAAAGGUGUUAUGAGAAAAUUAGAUUGUCCGUGUAGUUAAAGGUAGUUUUUUUGUGUACUAUUUAGAUCAAUAUGUUAAAAAUUGUUAGUUUUGUAAUAUGUGAUAACUUGAGUUUAUGUUAUUGUAUCUUUGGUUAAUUCGUAAACAAGAUUGUAUUAGAUAUUU
This 561-nucleotide long non-coding RNA is filed under the name Helianthus annuus (common sunflower). Its description in RNAcentral is "sRNA HanXRQr2_Chr05g0227761". Lineage: Eukaryota; Viridiplantae; Streptophyta; Magnoliopsida; Asterales; Asteraceae. The record is from RNAcentral.